GUGAAUUCUUCAAAAGUCGGCUCGUGGGAUUGUGCUGGUGGAGACACAUGUGCACGUUCUGCGGGUCGCAAACCCAACACACCUUGUGCAUCUAUGACUCUGAGUGCCGCUUUGCAUGGCCCCUCAUCGGGCCUGGCGCUCGAGUACUUUCACACACUCGAAUGUAACGGAAUGUCUUGUCGUGCAUAUAAUGUACAAACAGAAA
RNAcentral lists this unclassified non-coding RNA (205 nucleotides) under uncultured Sebacinaceae. RNAcentral describes it as "sequence contains ITS1". The record is from RNAcentral. Lineage: Eukaryota; Fungi; Basidiomycota; Agaricomycetes; Sebacinales; Sebacinaceae.